RNAcentral lists this non-coding RNA (113 nucleotides) under Castor canadensis (American beaver). Lineage: Eukaryota; Metazoa; Chordata; Mammalia; Rodentia; Castoridae. The record is from RNAcentral.
GUGUUGCAUGAAAGGAGAGAAGGUUAGCACCCCCCUUGACAAGGAUGGAAGAGACCCUUGGGCCUAACAACACGCAUGGCCACCUAGUCUGUGGCUUCUAAUCAUCGUUUUUG